RNAcentral lists this long non-coding RNA (250 nucleotides) under Nicotiana benthamiana. RNAcentral's name for it is "long non-coding RNA (NBEN_LNC018656)". Lineage: Eukaryota; Viridiplantae; Streptophyta; Magnoliopsida; Solanales; Solanaceae. The record is from RNAcentral.
UUUACUGUUUGGUUAUUCAAGUUUGUCCCUAUUGCUGUCUAGAGGUUUUGAAUUCUUGCUUUUCGCCGGAAAUUUUUCCGGCAACUCCUGCUCUUUUCUUUCUAUUCUCUCCUCUAUUUUUUUGUGGGUGUGUGUGGGUGUGUUCCGUUUUCUUGGACAGGUGACUAUUUUACCGGCGAGGAUUUCCGGCAAGCCAUAGUACUCCCGGUGACUCCCGUUCAGACUCGCGGCAGGACACAAUAGAACUACA